CGCCCGCGCCGACCCCGGCGCAGCGCUAGGACAGCGCCCCUGCGCGGCCGCCAGCUCCGGCGCAGCGCCUCCCUACACGCGCGCCAACCGGGGCGCCCCCGGCCCGCAGGAAUCCCCGCGGCGGGCGCAGGCGGGGGUGUUUGGGUGGCUACCCGAAAGCACGAGGGGAGUCUGGGAAAACGGGAGGGGGCGAGCUCGGGAAGACGCAGGAGUGAGGGUGGGGGGCCACGGGGGGGCACUGCGGCUACAGAGCCCCGAGUGGGAGGCCGGGGGGAGGCGGGGGCGCCGGAGCUGGGCUGCCUCUUACCUAUCAGGUAAGACUGACCCACGGGAGGGAGGUUUCUAGUCAAGGCUGUUUCCCCCAGGAAAUUUAAAAGCUAGAUUUCGGCUUCAGGGCGAUAGGCCAUGGUGAGGGGAUCUGUAUUUUUUAAGGUUUUUCUAAAGGACUUCUGGGCCAGCCUUCCACCUUGGGAUCCCCAGAUUUGCUGCCGUGAGGUACCUGGAAGGAACAGAGGGACGCCCAAGGGCAGUGACUGGGGGCAGUUAUGGUCACUACAAAAGGAGAACAGGGAUCCCCAGGAAGUGUCUCACGUCCGGCGCUGUGGAAUUAGUUGCUGAUCAAGUAGGGAGAAAAUGAAAUUAAAAUUUUAAGGGCUAAUUCCCCUUCAUUCAAGAAAUAUUUACUGUGAUGAAGACAUGUUCCAUGCAGAGGAAAUGGCCAAUGCAAAGAGCCCCUGACUGGAGGGCAUUUGGCACAUUCUAGGAGAGUGAGGAGGAUUCUAUGGGCCAGGAAUUCAGACAGGGCACAGUGUUGAUGGCUUGUCUGUGUCCUGGCUGGGAUGGCUCAAAUGGUUGUGGGACUAUUUGACUUGAAAGGCUGGAGCCUGGAAUCAUUUGAAACAUUGUUCACUCAUGUGUCUGGCACCUGCGUUAGAAUGACUGAAGGCUACAUCAACUAGAGUACUUACAUCCGGUCUCUCCAUGUGACUUGGACUUUUCACAGCGUGGAGGCUGGAUUUCAAAGGUCAACUGAGAAUGGCAGAGGACUCAUCCCACCUUUGCCACAUGGUGACUUGCCCCACUCCCCCAGGUGACCUUGCUCGUGCAUGUGGAUAUUUGCUCAGAUUAAGAAUGUUUCCCACAAAAUUGCUUACUCUCUUUCAUUCUGUCCGUGGUUGCUUGUGGUUUAUUUGUUGAUAACUGAGACUAUUUAAAGAUUGCCAAAACAAAAGCCAUUUCUUUUCUCCCCGAAUAGCCUCAUUUUUUCUAUUCCCUUUUUCCCCUCCUAUUAACAUUUCUGGGGACUCUAAAGCAGAGCUCAAGAUGGUUCAGGACCACGGAGAGCGCAAGGAAGGGGAACUACCAAAGCACUUUAGUCAUGCAGGUGGGGAAAGAGAUGAUCCUAAAAUUGUUUUUAUUUUUCUGUUUUUUUGAGAGGGAGUCUCGCUCUGUCACCCAGGCUGGAGUGCAGUAGCACGA
Molecule: long non-coding RNA, 1479 nt
Filed under: Homo sapiens (human)
Lineage: Eukaryota; Metazoa; Chordata; Mammalia; Primates; Hominidae
Description: HSALNT0309310
Source: RNAcentral